Neomonachus schauinslandi (Hawaiian monk seal) is the source of this 1919-nucleotide long non-coding RNA. RefSeq lists it as uncharacterized. NCBI's taxonomy places the organism in Eukaryota, Metazoa, Chordata, Mammalia, Carnivora, Phocidae. The transcript has 3 exons. The record is from RefSeq and is a predicted model, not a curated record.
UAUGAAGAAGAGGAUCAUCGAUGUUAAAAUUCCAUGCACCAGGCUUACAAAGAACUUCUUAUAGUUGAAUAGUGCCCAGUCCGUCCUGAAGUGUCCCGUCAGCCCGAGGCUCCUACCUGGUCAAGCAGCCCCAUGAGGAGCACGGGCAGGCUGGAGUACAGCACGUUGUAGAGCGUGAUGAACCAGUCUUCGUACGCAGUCUGUGAGGAGAUUACAGAGUCGCCGUGUCACAAACCAAGACCUAUUGCCCGCCUAGUCAACAUGCAUUCAUCUCUCUCGGAGUGGGGAAGGCCCCAGGCUGUGUGCAGCUUCUGCCAGAGUAAACACCCCUCAUCUGCAUCUGCCCAAGCUGUGAGCUGGGUUCAGUGGAAUGGGCAGAAUCAAAGACCGUUCCACAGAAACAAACCUUCUUUCUAACAAAAAUGGGAGAAUAUACACGAAAACCUUUUUUGGAAAAGGAGUCCAUUCUGUUUGAAUAAUGCUGGAAAAUACGUUGGUGCUGAUCCUUUUUAUAUCCCUUUAUUAAUGAAUUAGAAGACAUAAAACCGAAAUUGGUUCAAAAAGCACAUAAGAGUACCCAUUGAAGAAGGAGUACCAGAAAUGAACCAAAGUAAAUGCAAAGUUUUUAUAAAAGAAGUAUCGUAGGAACUUGCACAUCCUUAUGUAAGACCACCGGCCAUGUACCAACAACAGUCUCUGCAAGUAUCUGAACUGGGCAAAGGAGUAGUCACUUGACAUGACAGCUUGCAUGCCUUCUUGUCCGCUUAUUCCAACACCAAUGUGGGCAGCUGUGGGACAGAGGGAGAAGAUAUGUGAAUCGUAAGCUAAUUUUAAGGCGAAAUAUUUAAGUGAUAAAAAUGUUUCCACAGCAAAACAAAGAAACACAUUCAUGGAACAAUAUAUGUGAAAACUCUCUCUCACCAGCCCCACCCCAGCUUCUGAAUUCAAUGUCAGAGAUACAAGUUGCUCAAAAGAGCACAUGCUGGGGCCUCCAAAAGGUAUUUGUGGAAGGAUCUCAGGUGGGUGGUGAAUUCCAUUUGGAUUAUCUGCCCAGCUGAUAGGCCAUCCUUCCCGCCCACGGGGUUAAUCCAAGGAGUCUAUGCAGACUGUGCGUUCCUGCCUCCCUGGCCACAGCUGAGUCAGCUGCUAUUGGCAGAUACUACAAAUUGGCCCUCCCAACUUUCAUUCCACCCUUGUUCUACUGGAAAGGUGGGAAAGCACAUAAAAACCUUACAUUGCUCAGACUCCCUUGCACUAGGUUCUGUUGGUGAAUUGGGUUUCAUUGUUAGGAGCCACUUGAAGUUUCCGGAAGUAGAAGCGAACUGGGGCCCAGCACCCCUUCCCUUUUUGGCAUUUCUUCAGCAGAGUUCGUAUGCUCUCCCCAGCUGCCUGGAUGCUGAUAGACAAAAGCUCAACUGAAAAGCCCUUCACAGGAGUCUCAAAGCUAGAAGCUCCUCUGGUGAGUGACUAAGAUGUUAGAGAGUCAGGCUAGCACCUACUUUCUUCAGCCCAUCCUGAGCUUUCAUGAGCACCUAGUCCCCUGUAUUAAUCACUUCCUGCUUAAAGUACCCAACGGGGUCUGUAUCUUGUACUAACUGACUGAAAACCCAAGCUGGGGCAAUCAGUGUCUCUUUCACAUUUUGGAAUUAAGAUUCGGGCAUGUUUGUGUUUGGAAUUUUAACCUAUACAUUCUUGAGUUGUGGGACAGAUAUAUUUUUUUUCUCAGGGGUUCUGAGGGGCAGAGAAGUAAAGUCAUCUAGAAAGAGGGAGAAACCAGAAGCUGGGGUCCUGGUGCAGCUCCAGGUCCUGGUUCUAGCAUCUUCCUGAGGCGUGGCUUCUUGGGAGGCACAAAACAUCUUUUUUUUUUUUUAAUUUGGGAGAGCAGGAGUGGAGGGGAGAGGCAGAGGGAGAAGCAGAUU